Pararge aegeria (speckled wood butterfly) is the source of this 1146-nucleotide long non-coding RNA. RefSeq lists it as uncharacterized. The record is from RefSeq and is a predicted model, not a curated record. The transcript has 4 exons. Lineage: Eukaryota; Metazoa; Arthropoda; Insecta; Lepidoptera; Nymphalidae.
UGUCUGGUACUACUCUCUAGUAUAGUGUACAAUCUAUGGGUACUGCAGUGGUAAAAAUAUGAGUUUCGUAAUUGUGGAGAAAGAAGGACUCUAUUCUAUUGUUGUUAAACAUGGCAGAUAAAUAUAGAAAGUGUGUGAAGUGUGGUGUAUCUGCUGCGUAAGACCCACUUACUUUUCAUUCUUUCCCGAGAGCUGGAAAGGCAUCUAAUUUAGCAAGAUAGAGAACUUCAGUGUCUUCGCAAUCUUUUACACAAUAUCUGCCUAACUCGCCUCUAAAAGGUCAAACACUGCAAUUGGACAUUACUUUUGUGACUCAACCUGUCAAUUUGAAGAACACAAAAAAGGCAAAAAUUCUGCAGCAAGUAGAAAAUUGCUAUUAGACUCUCUCUCAAAGAGUGAGUACUUAGAAAAAUUAAAUGAAAAUUUAAAACCUGCAUUUGGUGUGCUUUUACAAAGCCAAAUGGUUAAUACACCUAGAAAAUUAAAUGGUCGUUGCUGGACUCUAAAUGAAAAAAUCAUAGCACUGGCUAUGUAUAAAAAAUCCAGUGCAUGCUAUAGAUUGCUCAGAAGAUUGUUUUGCUUGCCAAACCCUGGUACUUUAAAAAGUCUUUUAAAUUAAGUAAAUUUACCUUGUGGAAUUGACAGUAAAGUUAUGGCAAAUUUAAAGGAAAUUACACUAACACAGUCAAAAACUGAUAAUUUGUGUACAUUAAUGUUUGACGAGAUGGCAAUUCGAAAAAUAAUCGUAUGUUAUAUAAUCCAAGAACAGACAAGAUUGAAGGAUACCAGGAUCAUGGUUCCCAAGGUAGAAGCCAACAAAUAGCAUCACAUGCAUUGGUUUUUAUGUUGGUAGGAUUAAGAAAAAGGUGGAAGCAACCAAUAGCCCACUAUUUCUCAGGAGAAUCGGUAACAGCUGAUAGACUUCAAGCAAUUAUUAAAGAGGUAUUGUCAGAAUGUUACUUAAACAAUUUAAUAGUUGUAGCAACAGUGUGUGACAUGGAUGGAGUAAAUGUAAGAGCCAUAAAUUCCCUAGGGUCCACACUCAGUGGCGUGCCUAGGGUUUUGAGUUUUAGCAAGCCCAGUUACCUAAAGGACAAAUUUAACUCGUCAUGAUCUCUAAGUCACCAUUCUUGUUGUGAUAAAUGA